GUAGGUGAACCUGCGGAAGGAUCAUUAAUGGUGCUUGCAGAAAUGCUUGCACGGCGGCGGCCUUAAAACGCGCCAAAUGGGCACCCUUUGUUUACGAGUACCGUUCGUUUCCUCGGUGGGCUUGCCUGCCAUGAGGACCAACAAAAACCUUUUGUAGUAGCAGUAUCUUCAGUAAAAACAAAUAUUAGAACUUUCAACAACGGAUCUCUUGGUUCUG
Molecule: unclassified non-coding RNA, 217 nt
Filed under: rhizosphere metagenome
Description: partial ribosomal RNA internal transcribed spacer region
Source: RNAcentral